CUCUGUCGCGCCAUCUCGACUCCCCUGUGGUUCGCUCUGCUGUGCACCUCCGCUUCACCUUUCUCAGCAUUUCGGCGCGAGGUUUCGAAGAUGGGGUGCAAGUUCACCUUUCUCGUCUACGCGAUCCUCCAGCUCAUCGCGUUCCUUUCCGUGCUGAUCGGUACGCCGCUGGAGAUGUUUCGUGGCACCACGAGGGACCCGUAUAACGUAUCCUUGUGCAUCACUUUAUGGGGUACAAAGUACGACUUCCAAUGCCACUUCAUCAUGUACGCCCAGACGACGGACGGGCAGUGGGCGCGUUGCACGACCCGCCGCCAACAUUUCCGCAUGGCUGAGGCGUUGGUAGUCAUCUCCAUCAUCCUGUAUGCCUUGGCGGCGCUGCUUGGCUUCAUUAUGCUGUUCUGCUGCUCUUUGCUCCGCUGGGUAUGCCUGGCGCUCAACGUCGUUGGCCUCUUAACGUUGGGCAUCACCUGGGGCCUUAUGGUGACGGAGUUCAACAAGGGUGACGGCCCACUUUGCCUCCUCUGAAGAACAACUACAAGUUUGGCUACGGCUUCUUUCUCCUGUUGGUGGCCUGGGUCCUGGAUCUCGUCGACAUCGUCUUCUUGCUGUUCCCGUUGCCGACUAUGCGCGCAGAUGAGAGUGAGAAAUCGAACGAAAGCGUAGAGCAGGAGUAGGCGGAAGGGAGCCGCAGGAGGCGGAGGGGCGGUGUUGCUAGCCGCGCGGCAGCUUCGCGACGACGCGCUCGUGGAGGAGCCGGCGGAGCUGAUGUCAGCGUGCCAGAGGGAGGGAGCGAGGGCUGCGGAUACUCGCCCCUGCCCUUCGCCGGCAGCUCUCCGUCUGCUGCUCGCUGCCCUCUCGUGCGUGCGCGUGAGGUGCGCCGCACGCGCUGCCGAGGGGGUGCAGACGUGCAGGCACGCCCUGGCAUGCACAUGCCGAGGAGCCGCUCUCGCUUUCUGCGCUUCCGCGUCUCUUUCUCCGUUUCCCGUCGUGCUGCAUUGCUGUCGAGUGCCAGUGCGGCGUAUGCGGGCACUUGCUGACGUGUUCAUGGUUUCUCCCUCGCCUGUCUUCGUCUUCUCGUGCGUGUGCCGCUUGUUGAGCUUUCCGCCUCUCGCCUCGCUGUUGCCUUUUCUGCUGACCUGCGCAGCGGUCUGCGCGUUGUGGUGGGCAGCGCACCCUUGACGGCGACCCGCCCACCGAUGACCCCUCCCUCCCCCUCUGAGCGGUCGCCCUCGCUGCCUUGUUGAGGCAGGCCCCCCCUCUCCCCCGCACGCUCGGCGGGCGCAGCCUUGGCGAGACGAGAGGGCGAGCGGGGAAGCGAGGGGGUGGCACGGGCGUCGCCGGCCGGAGCAUUGAGGUGUGCAAGCGAGGGUGCACGGCUGCGAGGGCGAGGGAAGGCCGACGACGAGAACGGGCGAGGAAGAGACGGACGCGCUGGAAAGAGGGACGGUGAGCGCAAGGCCGCCACCGCACUGGUGGCCAGCCUCCGCCCCUCCUCCGUACAUCGGUGUCGCGGCCGCGCGUGUUUCCUGUACUUCUCUGGGGCGCCCCUCUCGCCCGUCUCUGUCUCCUCGCCCUCACGCACGCCGCAUGGACUCCUCAAACGGAGAGGGGGGAGGGGGCGGGGUGCCACGUGUGUGGUGGUGGCGGGCGCAGGAACCAAACGGGCUAAUGGGCGGACGGCGCGGGAGGAGAGAGGACGGCGUCCGCGGACCCAGAAGCGACACACAGGUGCGUACGCAGCGCUAAAGAGGGGCGAUUGCAGCUCUUGCUCCUCUUGGUUCCUUGCGCCCCAUGCACGGCCUACGUGUGCGCGCACACACCGACGCGCGCGCAGGUGCGCAGGAGGGGCGGCACCCCCUGCUGCCGUGUAAGGGGCUGCGGUGUCGGGCGGGGCAGUGGGGAGAGAGAGGGCGAGGCUGGCGAGGUGGCGGGUGGGAGGCUCUCCAUGGUGCACGAAGGGCGACCUCACGUCGGACGUGGGCGUGCGUGGUGAGGCGUGUGCCCUUUGCGUUGCUCUCGAGCCCUCGUCGCGUUUGUGCCCUCCGCUGUUUUCCGUGUCUCUUUCUGCUUCCGCAUGGACGCGCGCCUCCCCUCGACCCCCGCUGUCGCACACGGCAUGCGCGUGUGUGCCGGUGCAUGCGCCCUUGUGACCGUCCUCCCCCUUCCUCAGCGGAUGCCCCCCUCCCCGCCGCCCUCUCUUGCUGCGGCGACUGCCCGCGCUCCUCGCACUCCCAGGGAGGAAGAAGCGCCGCUGCGACAGGAGAGCCGCCGAGCACACCCUCUGUCCCGCCCCCUCCUUAUGUUGCCGCUGCUUCCUCCUCUCGUCUCGUGCUCUUGUGCGCACCCGCCGCUACGCGUCUUCACUUGCUUUGCUGCUCUUUUCCGCGUGCCGGUACCCGCGCUCCCCUUUCUCUCGGUCCUCCGCAGGCCACGGACGCGUGGGGCCCGCCUGCGUGUGCGUGUGCGUGUGCGUCUCUCCCGUCGCUUUAUGCGCGCCGCUGUCCUUCUCUUGUGCCUCUCUCCCCGUGCGCAGGCGAGAGGGGCUGGCUGAGACGGCGAAGAGAACGGCCACGGCAGCACAGCGGAGCAGGGGGACGGGGGAGGGGGUGAGUGCGCAACGGCGACGGCGCCCCCAAAGGAUAGGGGGCUAGCCCUUCAACAGGAGUGCGUGCCUGCGUGUGUGUGCUUGUCUCUGUGCGCGUUGUGUCUUUAUUAUGUCUUCGCCUUUCUUGUGUCGCUUCUUUUGCUUUUCUUUGUUUCGAUGCCUAAUCACACCACCGAGUCCUCCAGACUCCCAUGUGAAGAGUCUUUACCCCUUGCUACGGGAUUCGGUGGCGUGGUGCGACUCGGGGCGAGGCAUGGCAUGCAGGCAGAGCACAGGGUCUCAAAGGGCCCUGACCCGCGGCUGGCCAGCAUUCUCCCUGAGGUCGUCCGGCACUCACCGAGGCCACCGCCUGUUACCCACACGACUGACGUCACCGCUUCCGCCCUCGAGCAGGAGCCUGGACGCGCUGCCCGCCUGGGCCGAGGCAUGCGUUCCACCCGGGUCCGUGUGGCGCCUACCGCGCAGCACGUGCCCGAGGGAGGGGACGAGCAAGGACAGGAGGAGCCGGUACGACGCAUGGCCCGAUUGAAGGGCAGGCAGUGCGUCCUUGGCGACCAGGAUGUAGCUGUGGCGCAACAGAGGCGUGCGAGCUGUGGUUGAAUGCGUAUAUUUGUCGACGUGUUCGUGGUGGAGUGGGGCGUGCAAGGGCGUCUCACUGCCACGGGCGGACACGCAAAACGUCAAUAAUGUAACGGCCAAACAGCAAGGAGGAACACGCGCGCGCACACGCAGGCGACAGUGCGAACGUCGCACAUAUUGUUCUCGCCCCCGACGGCUCCGCACUGCCUCCGCCUGAAAAGACAGCGUGCGCGCGCGCGCGCCUGUUUGUGUCCUCUUUCUUUUCCUCGCCUUGCCUUUUGCUUUUGUGUCAUGGCUUCCUGCGCGCGUUUCUGUUCGUUUCUGUCUUGCGAUCUCGCUUUCGUUCCUCGACUCGCCGACCCCCGCAGCGUCAGGGCGGCGGCCGCCAUCGCCCUCUUCUCCGGGAGGAGGCGUGGUGGUGGUGGUGUGGUGGCGCCGAGCUCUUUGCUGCUGCCAGCGGCAAGGCUGUGCUAUGCGCGCGCGUUUGCAUGCCGGUGUAUGUGCGCCGGCCUAUGUGCACACGCAUGCGUGCGUGUGUGCCUCGUGGCAACGCCGCUUCUUUUUGCACUCAUUCCUCUUCGUCCGCCCCUCUCCUCUCUGCUGCACCUUCGCGCGUGCCUCACGGGUGCUUGUUGGCGAAACACGAUGAUGAGUGGCAACCCAGAGGUGAGCGCCAAUACGCGCACGUACGCGGAAAGGGAACCGCCCAUGCGCACAUAAAGGUCCUCACUCUCGCAUACGGGCUCGGCCGGCUGCUGAGAGGCAGCGCCGGCAUCCGCGUUGCGGCAAGCCUCCUGCUGUGCUGAUUGCCGGCGCGCCUGGAGCGCUGGCGGCGGCGGCGGCGUACAUUUGAUGGUGCCGCCCCCCUCCCCCUUCCUCCCUCCCCUUCCCGGGCAGCGCCGUCACCGGGCCUACGGCACGGCGCGGUUGCCGAGGUGAUGGGCAAUGCGACCUGGCCGCUGGUGGUGGGCACUGACGGAGGGGAGCUCUGUGUGGCACCUGAGCGCAUUGUGUUGCGGGGGCCGCCGAGGAAGCUGCACCACACCGCGAGGCUGCUGGAGCGUGCGAGCUGGCUGCGCUGCUGCGCGCACGGCCCGCGCGCCGUGGAGGCCGUGGCGCUUAUCCCGAUUAGCCGGUGCUGGCGCGGGGGUGGGCGUGAACCACGGACCGCCACCGAGACCCCUCCAAGGCCGCCCGGUGGUGUGAGGGCGUGUGUGUGUGCUCGCGACGGCCGCCCUCGCCGGUGGCUGUGGCGGGUGCAAGAGUGCGCUGUGCCGCAGCGCGGUGCGCGUGGAGGGCGGGCCGCUCGCGCACGUCGGCGUCCGCGGCGCGGAGGGCAGGCUGCGCUGCGUCGUCGAGGCGCUCUGCGUGAAGCGGGGGCGCGAGGUGUGCGGCGACGCUGUGGCGCUGGCGUGUGCGACCGUCGUCUGUGCCAUCUCACCGUGGAGGGGUGCCCAUCGCGUCGCUCAGCAUGGCCGCCGCUGGGGUGCGGCGCCUCGGCCUGCGCAUGAUUGCCGUGCGCCGCCGCGAGCGGGCGUUCGCGUAGACGCAGCACGCCGUGGGCGAGUUGUUUGCCGCGGUGCAUGAAUGCCGCGUCUCGGCGGGAAGGCGCACGGAUGAGAAGUUGCUGAGGUCGGUGCGGCGCUGGGGGCGCACUGCGUUGCACGAUCCCGCACAGGACGUGUGCGUGUUUCACCACAAGCUUUUCCACUCCGCCUCCCGGUGCUGCUGGCCGCAGGCGCGCGGUGAGAUGAGGAGGUGAUGGGGAAGGGCGGGUGGUGGCUCUGCGCGAGCGCGUGGGUGUCGGGUGGAUGGGAGUGUGCACUGAUGUAGGUGCACCCUCGCGUGCUGCGACUGGCACCGCCGCCCUCCUCGCCCCAUGGGGCGCACACGGGGUCGCUGCUGCUCGCAUCCCCUGCUCUUUGGUGAUGUUCCUUUUUUUUCUUGUGGUGCAGGGCCGCGGCGGUGCGGGGAUGGGCGGUGCUGCAUCCCGCCCGCACAGACACCGAGGCCGCCCCCCGCACCUCCCCCCUGCACACACGUGUCCAUCGGCCUCGCGCAAGCGCUCCUAGGACAACGCCGACCAGAGAAAAACGCAGCAAGCGGCUCCAGGCGGUAGGCUGUGCGACUGCGGGUCUUUGCGCUCUCUUCCCCUCGUCCUCGCUGUGCGCGGCGCGAGGGGUGUGGCGAGGACAUGCGGUGAGGGGCGCGGGAGGGGCUGCCCGGAGGGUGGCAAGCAGUGCCCUCUGUUCUCUCCGCUUGGUCGCCGCCUCGUGCGCUUCUGUCUCCCCUUCGCUGCCGUGGCGGUGCGUCGCACCCCCACCGGCCUGCUGUCC
This 5523-nucleotide unclassified non-coding RNA is filed under the name Leishmania donovani. RNAcentral describes it as "gene:LdHU3.34.4440(CDS-product:Amastin_surface_gl ycoprotein_putative)". Lineage: Eukaryota; Euglenozoa; Kinetoplastea; Trypanosomatida; Trypanosomatidae. The record is from RNAcentral.